GGUCAAGCUACUAAGGGUGUGCGGUGGAUGCCUAGGCGUUAAGAGGCGAAGAAGGACGUGGUAGGCUGCGAUAAGCCCCGGGGAGCUGUCAAACGAGCUUUGAUCCGGGGAUUUCCGAAUGGGGCAACCCACCGACAGCGGGCAACCGUCUGUCGGUAUCGGCGGGUGAAUGUAUAGCCCGUCGAAGCGAACGCAGGGAACUGAAACAUCUCAGUACCUGCAGGAGAAGAAAUCAACCGAGACUCCGUCAGUAGCGGCGAGCGAAGGCGGAUCAGCCCAAACCGUGGUGCUUGCACCGCGGGGUUGCGGACCCUCGAGGGGUUACAAAAGUCGUGUUAGUCGAACGAUCUGGAAAGGUCGAGCACAGAAGGUGACACUCCUGUAGACGAAAACAUAGACUCCCCGUUGAGAGGGUAUCCAGAGUAGCGUCGGGCUCGUGGAACCCGGCGUGAACCCGGGGGGACCACCCUCCAAGGCUAAGUACUCCUUAACGACCGAUAGUGCACAAGUAGGGUGACUGAAAGGUGAAAAGAACCGCUACAAGCGGAGUCCAAAGAACCUGAAACCGCAUACUUACAAGCAGUGGGAGCACGAUGCCGCUUGCGGCGCGUGUGACCGCGUGCCUUUUGCAUAAUGAACCGGCGAGUCAAGGUGUGCAGCAAGGUUAACCCGUUCCGCGGGGUAGCCGAAGCGAAAGCGAGUCUGAAUAGGGCGACUAGUUGCAUGCUUUGGACGCGAACCCAGUUGAUCUACCCAUGGCCAGGCUGAAGUGCCCUUAACCGGGCACGGAGGGCCGAACUCAUUAACGUUGAAAAGUUAUGGGAUGAGCUGUGGGGGGGAGUAAAAGUCUAAUCAAAACUGGAGAUAUCUCGUUCUCCCCGAAAUCGCUUUUGGGCUAGCCUCGGGGCAACUACAUCAUGGGGGUAGAGCUACUGAAUGAGACGAGGGGGCCACCAGCCUACCUCCCUCAACCAAACUCCGAAUACCAUGAUGACUAUCCCGGGAGUCAGUCUGCGGGGGCUAACCUUCGUGGACAAAAGGGAAACAACCCAGAUCGUCGGCUAAGGUCCCAAAUCCAUGCUAAGUGCGUAAGGAAGUCCUUUCUCUGAGACAGCGGGGAUGUUAGCUUAGAAGCAGCUACCAUUUAAAAAGUGCGUAAUAGCUUACCCGUCGAGAGAUUGGGCGCCGAUAAUGAACGGGACUAAGCAUGGAACCGAAGCCACGGGACUAGAAACUAGAAACUAGACACUGGAGACAGCCUUGGUGAUGCGCGCGGCCAACUAUGAGACGUUGGCAGGUGCUUGCCUCUUGUUUCCAGUUUCCAGUUUCUAGUUUCUGGUCGGUAGGGGAGCGUUGAUAGGCAGAUACAGGCCAUACCGUAAGGAGUGGUGGCGGGCCUAUCAAGUGAUUAUGCCGGUUUGAGUAACGAUAAACAGGGUGAAAAUCCCUGUCGCCGUAAGCCCAAGGGUUCCUGGGGAAGGGAAAUCCGCCCAGGGUUAGUCGGAACCUAAGGCGAGGCCGAAAGGCGUAGUCGAUGGACAGCAGGUUAAUAUUCCUGCACUCCGUGGUGCGAUCAAACCGCCGUGCGCUUUUUCAAGAUGCAGCCCACGACAAGAGGCGAGGGUGCCCGCAAGGGCGAGGCCAAUUUGUUGUCGAAGUGCGUGGAGAAAGAGCCAAGAAAAGCGGCGGGGGCAAUCUGCGGAUCCGUACCAAAACUGACACAGGUGGGCGAGGCGAGUAGCCUCAGGCGCUCGAGAGAACGGUCCUUAAGGAACUAGGCAAUUUGACCCCGUAACUUCGGGAAAAGGGGUCCCUACCCCUUCGGGGGAGGGCACAGAGAAUCGGCUCUGGCGACUGUUUAUCAAAAACACAGGUCUCUGCCAACACGAAUAGUGGACGUAUAGAGACUGACGCCUGCUCGGUGUGGGAAUGUUAAGGAAGCCGGUCAGCCGCAAGGUGAAGCUGGCAACCGAAGCACCCAUAAACGGCGGCCCUAACUAUGAGGGUCCUAAGGUAGCGAAAUUCCUUGUCGGGUAAGUUCCGACGCGCAUGAAUGGCGUAACGACUGGAGCACUGUCUCAAGGACCGACUCGGUGAAAUAGUAGUCGUGGUGAAGAUACCACGUACCCGCGGCAAGACGGAAAGACCCCGUGAACCUUUACUGUAACCUGGUAUUGGCCGCAGGCUGCAAAUGCGUAGGAUAGGUGGGAGGCGAUGAUCCAGCCGUUCCGGCGGUUGGGAAGCCAACGUUGAAAUACCACCCUUUUGUUGCUUGUUUCCUCACCCUGCACCGUCAAUCCGGGCAGGGGACAGUGCUAGGCGGGCAGUUUGACUGGGGCGGUCUCCUCCCAAAGAGUAACGGAGGAGUGCAAAGGUCGGCUCAGCACGGUUGGCAAUCGUGCGUCGAGUGCAAAGGCACAAGCCGGCUUAACUGCGAGAUAUACCCAUCGAGCAGAUGCGAAAGCAGGCCUUAGUGAUCCGGUGGUCCUGUGUGGAAGGGCCAUCGCUCAUCGGAUAAAAGGUACUCCGGGGAUAACAGGCUAAUGACUCCCGAGCGUUCAUAGCGGCGGAGUCGUUUGGCACCUCGAUGUCGGCCCAUCGCAUCCUGGGGCUGAAGGCGGUCCCAAGGGUUCGGCUGUUCGCCGAUUAAAGCGGUACGCGAGCUGGGUUCAGACCGGCGCGAGCCAGGUCGGUCCCUAUCUGCCGUGGGCGUACGAGACUUGCGAGUAUGUCUCUUUAGUACGAGAGGAUUAAGAGGCACGUGCCUCUAGUGUACCAGCUGUCCCGCUCGGGGCAUCGCUGGGUAGCUACGCACGGAAAGGAUAACCGCUGAAUGCAUCUAAGUGGGAAGCCCCACUCAAGAUCAGGUCUCGGCAGCGCAAGCUGGAAGGCUCCUGGAAGACCACCAGGUCGAUAGGCGGGAGGUGUAAGCGUAGAGAUACGUUGAGCUGACCCGUACUAAUAGCCUAUCGCUUGACCGC
Molecule: ribosomal RNA, 2981 nt
Filed under: Phycisphaerae bacterium
Lineage: Bacteria; Pseudomonadati; Planctomycetota; Phycisphaerae
Also listed under: 1 other name
Description: 23S ribosomal RNA
Rfam family: Bacterial large subunit ribosomal RNA
Source: RNAcentral